Myodes glareolus (Bank vole) is the source of this 111-nucleotide small nuclear RNA. The record is from RefSeq and is a predicted model, not a curated record. NCBI's taxonomy places the organism in Eukaryota, Metazoa, Chordata, Mammalia, Rodentia, Cricetidae.
GUGCUCACUUCCGCAGCACACACACUGAAACUGAAACAAGACAGAGGGGAUUGAGUGUGGCCCCGUCGCAGCAAAGACGGCAUGCAAAUUUGUGAAGCGUUCUAUAUUUUU